GGGAUAUCUUUCUUUGGUGAACCUCACAUUUGGCUUGGGUAGGAAAUAUAAUUUAGGUUUAAAUUGUCCUAAACCAGGUCAAAGAUUGUAUUUUUCAUGCCAAAGAAUGAUUCAUCUUUCUUUGCAUGAAUCAUCUUGGAUCGCAUAAUGACUGCUUUGAAAUCUAUGCAAAUGGAUGAGUGAAAGAAUUUGGAGUGUUUUGAUAUUUUUGUGGAG
This 216-nucleotide long non-coding RNA is filed under the name Elaeis guineensis (African oil palm). RNAcentral's name for it is "long non-coding RNA (EGUI_LNC005389)". Lineage: Eukaryota; Viridiplantae; Streptophyta; Magnoliopsida; Arecales; Arecaceae. The record is from RNAcentral.